RNAcentral lists this ribosomal RNA (834 nucleotides) under uncultured bacterium. RNAcentral describes it as "bacterial SSU rRNA". It matches the Rfam family "Bacterial small subunit ribosomal RNA", at positions 1 to 829 of the family's 1533-position model. The record is from RNAcentral.
AUUCGCCCUUAGAGUUUGAUCCUGGCUCAGGACGAACGCUGGCGGCGUGCCUAACACAUGCAAGUCGAACGGGACUUAUUGGAAUGCGGUUUCGGCCAAAUGAAAGUAAGUUUAGUGGCGAACGGGUGAGUAACGCGUGAGGAACCUGCCUUUCAGUGGGGGACAACAGUUGGAAACGACUGCUAAUACCGCAUAACAUGUUAAGAUCGCAUGAUUUUGACAUCAAAGCUUAAUGUGCUGAAAGAUGGCCUCGCGUCUGAUUAGCUAGUUGGAGGGGUAACGGCCCACCAAGGCGACGAUCAGUAGCCGGUCUGAGAGGAUGAACGGCCACAUUGGGACUGAGAUACGGCCCAGACUCCUACGGGAGGCAGCAGUGGGGAAUAUUGGGCAAUGGGGGAAACCCUGACCCAGCAACGCUGCGUGAAGGAAGAAGGCCUUCGGGUUGUAAACUUCUUUUACCAGGGACGAAGGACGUGACGGUACCUGGAGAAAAAGCAACGGCUAACUACGUGCCAGCAGCCGCGGUAAUACGUAGGUUGCAAGCGUUGUCCGGAAUUACUGGGUGUAAAGGGCGUGUAGGCGGAGCUGCAAGUCAGAUGUGAAAUCCCGGGGCUCAACCCCGGAACUGCAUUUGAAACUGCAGCCCUUGAGUAUCGGAGAGGCAAGCGGAAUUCCUAGUGUAGCGGUGAAAUGCGUAGAUAUUAGGAGGAACACCAGUGGCGAAGGCGGCUUGCUGGACGACAACUGACGCUGAGGCGCGAAAGCGUGGGGAGCAAACAGGAUUAGAUACCCUGGUAGUCCACGCUGUAAACGAAGAAUACUAGGGGUGGGAGG